GAUGAACGCUGGCGGCGUGCUUAACACAUGCAAGUCGAACGAUGAAGCUGGGGCUUGCUCUGGUGGAUUAGUGGCGAACGGGUGAGUAACACGUGAGCAACCUGCCCCUGACUCUGGGAUAAGCGCUGGAAACGGUGUCUAAUACUGGAUACGAGACGGAACCGCAUGGUUACUGUUUGGAAAGAUUUAUCGGUUGGGGAUGGGCUCGCGGCCUAUCAGCUUGUUGGUGAGGUAAUGGCUCACCAAGGCGUCGACGGGUAGCCGGCCUGAGAGGGUGACCGGCCACACUGGGACUGAGAGACGGCCCAGACUCCUACGGGAGGCAGCAGUGGGGAAUAUUGCACAAUGGGCGCAAGCCUGAUGCAGCAACGCCGCGUGAGGGAUGACGGCCUUCGGGUUGUAAACCUCUUUUAGUAGGGAAGAAGCGUAAGUGACGGUACCUGCAGAAAAAGCACCGGCUAACUACGUGCCAGCAGCCGCAGUAA
Molecule: ribosomal RNA, 485 nt
Filed under: uncultured bacterium
Lineage: Bacteria
Description: partial 16S ribosomal RNA
Rfam family: Bacterial small subunit ribosomal RNA
Source: RNAcentral